CUGCAACUCGCCUGCAUGAAGUUGGAAUUGCUAGUAAUCGCGAAUCAGAAUGUCGCGGUGAAUACGUUCCCGGGCCUUGUACACACCGCCCGUCACACCAUGAGAGUCGAUAACACCCGAAGCCUGUGAGCUAACCUUUUAGGAGGCAGCAGUCGAAGGUGGGGUUGAUGAUUGGGGUGAAGUCGUAACAAGGUAAC
This 197-nucleotide ribosomal RNA is filed under the name uncultured bacterium. RNAcentral's name for it is "partial 16S ribosomal RNA". It matches the Rfam family "Bacterial small subunit ribosomal RNA", at positions 1305 to 1500 of the family's 1533-position model. The record is from RNAcentral.